Molecule: long non-coding RNA, 638 nt
Filed under: Lathyrus oleraceus (garden pea)
Lineage: Eukaryota; Viridiplantae; Streptophyta; Magnoliopsida; Fabales; Fabaceae
Description: Pisum sativum (pea) long non-coding RNA (PSAT_LNC012084)
Source: RNAcentral
GAUUAUCCACAUGACAGAUACAAAAAAAAUCUUCUCACUUCCAAUAAGAAAUGGGAACGUGCCUACCAAUGAGUGCAAUCCUUCUAUAAACAACUGGCCAAGAAAAAACAAAAAAAAAAAGAUCUCUCUUCUCUCUACACGCCACCUAUCACCUCACUCAUCCCCUCAUUUAAUACCCUUACACGCUUCCCUCUCUCUAUUGACACACAAACCACUCACAUAUACCUUCACUCUCUCUUAUCUCUCACCACUCAUUCCCAUUAUUAAGCAAAAAAAAGAAAGGAAAGAAAAAAGAGAAAAAUAAAAGAUGAACUGUUCAUCUUCCUAAACUCCACCAUUCACCCGCCGACGACUCCACCCUCCGCCAAAAAACAAUCCACACGCCGCGACCACCACUGCGACCAUCACCGCGACCCCUUCUUCCCUCAAUCGCACCGUCGCAAUCUCACACCGCUGCUUCACUCUUCGUCACCUUCGAACCCCCGCUUCUCCGGCCACGAACUGACACCACCAUCACAACCACACACCAGAAACCUCCACCCUCCGGCGAUUCCCCUUCUCUCCUUCCAAGCCUCACCCACACGACAACCUUCCACACGCCGCCACACAACACCAAAUUGGCGUCGCGAGAACCUCCG